This 305-nucleotide ribosomal RNA is filed under the name uncultured bacterium. RNAcentral's name for it is "partial 16S ribosomal RNA". It matches the Rfam family "Bacterial small subunit ribosomal RNA", at positions 508 to 807 of the family's 1533-position model. The record is from RNAcentral.
ACAGCAGUAGCCGCGGUAAUACAGAGGGUGCGAGCGUUAAUCGGAUUUACUGGGCGUAAAGCGUGCGUAGGCGGCUUUUUAAGUCGGAUGUGAAAUCCCUGAGCUUAACUUAGGAAUUGCAUUCGAUACUGGGAAGCUAGAGUAUGGGAGAGGAUGGUAGAAUUCCAGGUGUAGCGGUGAAAUGCGUAGAGAUCUGGAGGAAUACCGAUGGCGAAGGCAGCCAUCUGGCCUAAUACUGACGCUGAGGUACGAAAGCAUGGGGAGCAAACAGGAUUAGAGACCCCUGUAGUCCCUGUCUCUUAUAC